Small nucleolar RNA from Suncus etruscus (white-toothed pygmy shrew), 145 nucleotides. RefSeq annotates it as small nucleolar RNA SNORA12. Lineage: Eukaryota; Metazoa; Chordata; Mammalia; Eulipotyphla; Soricidae. The transcript has a single exon. The record is from RefSeq and is a predicted model, not a curated record.
AAUUGUGGUAGUUUUUUUUCGUGGCACAUUUGUUAAGUUUUCAAAUGGGCUUGACUCUGCCAUAUAUAUUAUAUAGGAGCUGGCAAGGCUAGAAGACAGAGCAUGCUCUCUAACUUUUCCCAUGUCCAGUUUGGAUCCCACAGAG